RNAcentral lists this ribosomal RNA (303 nucleotides) under uncultured Rhodospirillales bacterium. Its description in RNAcentral is "bacterial SSU rRNA". It matches the Rfam family "Bacterial small subunit ribosomal RNA", at positions 108 to 428 of the family's 1533-position model. The record is from RNAcentral. Lineage: Bacteria; Pseudomonadati; Pseudomonadota; Alphaproteobacteria; Rhodospirillales.
GCGUAACGCGUGGGAAUCUGCCCAACAGUACGGGAUAACCAAGGGAAACUUUGGCUAAUACCGCAUACGCCCUUCGGGGGAAAGAUUUAUGCGUGAUGGAUGGGCCCGCGUCGGAUUACCUAGUUGGUGAGGUAAUGGCUCACCAAGGCUACGAUCCGUAGCUGGUCUGAGAGGACGACCAGCCACACUGGGACUGAGACGCGGCCCAGACUCCUACGGGAGGCAGCAGUGGGGAAUAUUGGACAAUGGGGGAAACCCUGAUCCAGCAAUGCCGCGUGAGUGAUGAAGGCCUUAGGGUUGUAA